ACGUAGGGAGCAAGCGUUGUCCGGAUUUACUGGGUGUAAAGGGUGCGUAGGCGGCUUUGCAAGUCAGACGUGAAAACCACAGGCUUAACCUGAGGACUGCGUUUGAAACUGUGGAGCUUGAGUGAAGUAGAGGCAGGCGGAAUUCCCGGUGUAGCGGUGAAAUGCGUAGAGAUCGGGAGGAACACCAGUGGCGAAGGCGGCCUGCUGGGCUUUAACUGACGCUGAGGCACGAAAGCAUGGGUAGCAAACAG
This 251-nucleotide ribosomal RNA is filed under the name uncultured prokaryote. RNAcentral's name for it is "partial 16S ribosomal RNA". It matches the Rfam family "Bacterial small subunit ribosomal RNA", at positions 525 to 775 of the family's 1533-position model. The record is from RNAcentral.